CGGGAUGCAGCGUGCCGGGGCAGGGCGGGGCGACGGAUGUAGGCGGAAUCGAGCGGCGCUUGUUUGGUGCGUCACUGGCGGCCAGCCAGAGGAGGGCAUAGUAGGGCGAGCUCGGCUCACCGUAGCGGGUGAAAGACCUCGAGCCCCACUAGUGGAUCCGGUCGCCGGCAUUGGUGCAGCGGUCGGUAGUAACGGCAGAGAUAGAUUGGACCGAGCUAGAGGAGAGGAGCAAAGGGUAGUAGGAGCGACCUUAGGUGAGAGGGAGGGAGGAAGAAGACGAAACAAAUAAAAGUAAGGUCCAUGGACGUCUCCAAUGUACAGGAAAGAGCCGGUUACAUGGUUUGAGUGGGACCCACAUAUAAAUAAGAAAAUCAAUUUCUUCUCAACUACCCCUUUCUUCCCCAUGGAGGCAACCGGCAGCACGCCGCUUCCUCUUCUUGUUGUCUCCAUCUUCUUCCCUUCCCAGUUCUGAUCUGCCUCAAAUCCUCCCAACCUACUCCCCAAAAAGGCACAAAUCAAACACCUAGCGGCUGGAUCUGAAGGCUAUGGUGCCGGAUUCGGAGAAGAUAGCCUCCAGUGAAGCGGCCCCUUCGUUCCAGACGCCAUUGCUGCGGAGGCCGAACGAGUCCAGGUGACGACGCUCCUCCGUCCAUCCUCAGUCAGCGACGCCCCCAACCUUCAUGCUGCAGCAACGCAUGCUGGGGUUGCAGGUGUGGCCGUGGACGAGGCAGCCAGGAAGUACCGCAGACGGCGGGGUCGAAGGUAGCACCGCGAGGCGGCGGCCGGAACAGCAGCGCGGGCGAGCUCGGAGCGGUGCCAUGGCCUCAGCUUCGUCCAUACGGAUCUGCUCGACCUCGGCUUCAUCCAGGCGGCGGGCGGGAGCAGCGACGGCAGGAGAGAGAAAGGUCCGGUGGGUAUAGGAUUGGGAUAGGAGCGCCCGUUGGAGUGGUAGAUCUCCGUUCCCCGAUCCGACUAGCAUGUUACGAGAGUCAACUAACAUGUUACGAGAGUUAGCAAGGGCAUCAGCAAGGUAUAAGGUGCACCCCUGUUUCUAAGAUGGGACCCAACAAUGAUUUGAUAUCACAUGUUGUAUUAGCUCCAAUGUAUAGAACAAGUUGAAUCUAUGAAUAUGGAACCCGCAACCCUCCAUCUCU
This is a long non-coding RNA of Setaria italica (foxtail millet), 1154 nucleotides long. RefSeq lists it as uncharacterized. The record is from RefSeq and is a predicted model, not a curated record. The transcript has 2 exons. Lineage: Eukaryota; Viridiplantae; Streptophyta; Magnoliopsida; Poales; Poaceae.